UGUAAGUUGGCUCCAGUUUCAAUUCGGUUGUAAAAUAUACAUGGCGCCCAAGUUGCAGCACUAUAUAUAUGUUCAAAUAUGCAUGGCACCCAAAUGUAUAGCUUUUCAACAGCACAGACUUUCUAAUACACACGUACAGAAUUUUCAAUAGCACAGACUGCACUUCCACACAAAUUGCACAUGUAUAAAAUGAGCUAAAUUUUUUAUUUAUAUAACAGUACAACCACAUCAAAAAAAGGAUAAUAUUUUUGCAAUCAUCCAUUUGAACAUAGUUCCGAUAACUCAUAGUGCUCAAAGUCAGUAGUUUAAAUUACAAAUUUAUCGAGGCAUACUUGUCUCGUCUCGUCCGCAUGCUACAUAACCAAAUUUAUUGAGGCAAUUGUUCAACCAUUGUGCGCUUAGACAUAAAGUAUUUCAGGAAUAUUAUUGAUUGCUUCAUGGACUCGGGUAAUCAUAGAAUCAUGUGAAAGGACAUCCUGAAAAGAAAAAAAAUUGAAAAACAUUAGCUAUGUAAGAACACUUUGUGCUCUAUGAAGGAUACCAGCCACACAUGUCAAGAACAACCAUGUAUGUCAAAAAGAUUAGCACAAAAUCCUGAAUUACCAAGGGGAGCCAGAUGGUACAAGGUAGCCAUAGCAUGUCACUAAAUUUAAAGAAACCAUAUUAUUUUUCAAAAAACACCGAUAUGAAGAAACAACAUGGCAGCAAUAUAAACAACAUCUUAAGUAAGAAAAGAUGUUCUAGACAGCAGCAGGUCUAUAUGAUUUUGAAUGCAAAAAUGAUAAACAAGCUAUGGUUACUAUAUGUGUCCCAUCUAUUGCCCCUAGGCAGUUCUGCAUUAAACAAGCUAUGGUUACUAUAUGUGUUAUACUAAGGGAGGAUAUAAAUUCCUAAAGUACAUAGCAAGGGAUGGCGUGUACCUCAAAGAAAGGCCAAAACUGGGGAUUUGUUGAUAUUUUCCAAUGAGUAUCUAGCGAACUAUGCUUGAUAAGGUCAAAUGCCAAUGAUCUCAUAGCGUUGAAGCAUCCAUUGAUAUGCCUAUGCACCGUUUCAGGACUGUGCUGAAACCUAUCAGUCAACGUACGAUAACUCGCAUUCCUGGAUAGCAUGUACAUAAACAUCCCUAGUUGCUCUUCAACACUGACUCCUUUUGAAUUUUUUAGAAGAUUUUUGGAUCUAAGAUGGUCACAUAGAAGUUGGAAGAUAUGGGAUUCCAUCCUAAGAAUAUCAAGGCACCGUUGAGGGUGGCCAUCCAAUAUUUCUCGGAUAUACUUAGCUCCCGUAAGAAUGGAUGUGUUCACUGGAAUCUUUUCCCUCCUAGAAGAUAUACAAUAUAUUGUCGGGAAGACAAGAAACAUCAUCUCCUCCUCCUCCUCCUCCUCAGAAUCAGUACAUGACUCAUAUCCAUCAUCAUGGUUACUCGUAUCCAUUAUCUAGCGAGAAGAGAUUACAAAAUAAAUACUCGCAACUCUCCUUCAAAGUAAACACAGUAGUAUAUAUAAUCUAUGUUAUGACAUUGGAAUAAAAGGAGCACUAGCACAUCAAGAUAACGAGAUUAGUGUAACAUGAAAAGAUAUUACCAUACUUUUAUUGAUUGAUGUAACAGUUGAGUAUAGAUGUAUAUAGACAAGCACAUGCGCAAAACAAUGAAGAAUAAAUCAGUGACACACACACAAGCUGGACUGAAUGCUUUUGAGUUUAUUAAGUACCUUCAGUUCUGAGCUUUAAAUGUCAAAAGAGCUUCACAGAAUCUUGAAUCCUCCAAAUCACUCUUAACAGUUCUG
RNAcentral lists this long non-coding RNA (1784 nucleotides) under Triticum aestivum (bread wheat). Its description in RNAcentral is "long non-coding RNA (TAES_LNC009806)". The record is from RNAcentral. Lineage: Eukaryota; Viridiplantae; Streptophyta; Magnoliopsida; Poales; Poaceae.